Triticum aestivum (bread wheat) is the source of this 3399-nucleotide long non-coding RNA. RefSeq lists it as uncharacterized. The transcript is spliced from 4 exons. NCBI's taxonomy places the organism in Eukaryota, Viridiplantae, Streptophyta, Magnoliopsida, Poales, Poaceae. The record is from RefSeq and is a predicted model, not a curated record.
CGUCGAAUAACCUUUGAGCCUGAAAACAAACAAGAAAUAGAACACCGCCGCCGCCUAUGCACGCCGCCGCGCAUGCGCCGCCUCCUCCCUCCCCGCUAGCGCGCCGCCUCCUCCCUCCCGCCGGCGCGCCGCCUCCUCCCUCCCCGCUGGCGUGUCUCCUCCUUCCUCCCCCGCGGGCGCGCCGCCUCCUUCCACCCCUGCCGGCGCACCCCCUCCUUCCUCCCGUGCCCGCGCGCCGGCACCCACGGCCGGCCCCAACCACGCGCCGCCGCCCAACUCCGGUUCCAAGCGCCGCCGCCCGACCCCUGGAUCCGCCCGCCGCCCCCCAACCACCGGAUCCGUGUACUGCGUCCACCCCUGGAACCACGCAUCGCUAGCCGUCCUCCCUACUACUUCUGUCGCGCCACGAGGUUCUCACCCGCCUUCCCUACCUCUGGUUCUCCGAUGGAGCUGGUGGGCGACAGUGGUAAGCUCUUGUUCACACAUUUUCAGCUGCUGCACCUUCGCCUCCGGCCUGCUCACUCUUGAAUAUUUGGACUGAUGCUUCCAUUGGUGGAGGUUGUGGAAUUCCAGCACCCAACGCGCCGCCACAAGGUUCCGCUUCUUCCCCUCGCCGCUGAGGCCCUCCGCCUCUAGGAUCCGCUUGCUUGCUUCCGACCCAUGUUCCCCUCCCUAGCCAGCUGAACCGCCUUUCUCCAACUCCUUGAACCGCCCUGAGCGCCCUAGCUGAACCUUCAAUCUCUGUCGUUUGCCCCUGGGAGUGACCCAUUUUCGUGCGACCACACACGCAGCUCUUGGCUAGCAGCCACGCUGGCUGGUCACCUCCAAGCUUGAGGAUACUAGUUGGCGGCUUCUUGUCGCGAGCACACCAAAAUGGAUCUCUGCUUCGGGCCGCGGUGGGAACUCCAGGUUUCCUUUUUCAUCCGCCCCUCUAAUUGUUUUGGAGAACAGAGAUGGGAGCAACCUGCAAUUUGUGCUGCAUGUUCAAGAAAUUGUUUUGACUUGAUAGAGAAAAAGAAAAUGAAGAGAAGGAUUACCAUCUCAUUUGCCUCGAUUUACUAUAAAGAACACAUGUGACAGCAAGUCCAGGUAUUACUACAUGUGGAAUACGAAAAUACUUUUACUGAGAGUUCACUUAAAUCCUGCAUAGCUACUAGCCAUAGGAACUUAAUUCUUGAAUGGUUUCAAACUUGUAAUGUUCUUAUCAAAAUUUCUCUUUUGAUUUUUCUAUAGAUCUUCCUUUUGCUCCCCUGACUCCUGCCCUUCCUCUCUUCCCUUUGACGUUGUCUAUACUUAUGAAAAAUGGAUUUAUAUAUUUUGCAUAGUCGAUACUUAAGAAAACAUAAGUUCAAAUCUUCAAACUUCAAUCAGUUCAAGUACAUAUGGAACGUAAGACGACCUUGCAAAAACAACAAUAGCGUAGGAAAAAAGUUCAUUUUUCAAACAUAAAAAGGUAUAAAAAACUUCGCCCAAAAUUAUAUGACAGUUCACUAUGUAUGACAAACUAAACAAAAAAAUGGUAGUACACUAUGCAAAGAAAAAGUCUCACACAAGUUCAUUUCUAAUAAAUUCAUAAGUUCAAACUCACGUGGCGGGGAGGUUCAUUGAACAAUUAUUUAAAAAAAUGAAAACUAUACUUAUACAAGAUAGUUCAAUAUUUUAUUCUAUGACAGUCAAGAAAAACAGAAAAAAAGAGGUUCAUCAUGUGAUGAACAAUACUCCCAACAAGUGUGCUAGAGAUGCAAAAAAUUGAUAGCAUAGCCGAUGCUAUUUCUCAUCCAAUUUCUGAAGAAAACUGAAGUUGAUCAGAGUAACUGAAGAAUAAUCUGUUAGUUCUCGAGUAUGUGUAAUGCUGCCAUUUCACUGUGCAUUUAAUUCCAUCAUGAUGGAUGUAUUACAAGAUAUGGUUGUAUUAUUAUGUUCAAUAAAAAUGCCAUUUUGCUGCAACAUUUUCUGUCAGCUCCUGUCAAGUUAUACAUGUAUGUGAGGAUCCUUCUAUGUAGUAAGUUCAUAGUCGAGAAGUCAGGGACUUCGUAAAGAACGUGAACACCAAAAAACCAUUAAAAACCUACAGGGGAGUUCAAGAAGUUCAUGGCUAGUUGUCCAUGUUGUGUAUUCUUAUCAGUUCAUAAUCGAGAAGACAUGUAUUCUUAUCAAUUUGUUUAUCUACCCGGUCGUGUUGUGUAUUCUGGUCAGUUCGUGUGUGUAUGUGUUGCCCUCGCGGUGUACGAGAGGCCGCCCGUGAGGAAGUCGCCGAUCUGGUCGAGGCAUGCUGCUAUUCUCUAUUUCCGGUAGCACAAACAUUUAAAAAUUCGAACACCAAACCCUGGUAAGUUCAUCUUGACAAAAACUCAUGUCCCAUAUUUGUUCCUUUUUCGUAGGAUGAAGUUAAAACAAGAUGCACAAGUUCAUAUUUUCUAUGCUUUUCAGUUCAUCUACUUCCCAAUGGUGAGUCUGAUUUCCUUUGUGUUUCCAUCUCCUUCAUAUAGCACAAACAAGUACUUGUCAUUGUGCUUGAGAAUGAGCACCAUACUGUCACUUUGGUUAAUGAAUUUUGUAGAAAUUUCUCUCGGAAUUCUAAUGUAGAACUGCUGCUAACUUCAUAAUUAUAAGGACCAUGCAUGUUAUCCAAUGAGCCAUCAAUUGAAGCAAUUUCGAAUACAGAGAGGCAAAUACACAUGAUUCCCAACUAAUAGAUACUAAUGUUCUUUUAGCACAUUGCUAGUAGUUGUAUCAGUUACCUUUCUUUUGGAGCUAUGUAAUUGAUAAAUAACCAAGAGGGAAAGCGCACCAUCACAACUGCUCGCCGCCCCCACACGUGGUUGCUUUCCUCCUCCCGUGCACGUAUGCCACCUCAGCUGCUACAAAUUCUUGUGUGGGUCACCGUUCCUCACUCUGGCGUGUGUCACCACCACCAUGACCUCCCCCAGCCAGCCCCCACGGCCUGCCUCAAUGGUGCCAGGCAUGCCCUCGAGCUGGUCCAGAACCACCACGACGUCCAGCACCGUUCCCUUACAUAUGUGAGGUGCUCGUGUGUUGGGGUGUUGCAUCUACGGCGAGGUCGCCGUACUGCACCAGCUCCAUGUCACUAACCUUAUCUCUGGUUUCUCUUCUAUACGACUUAAUAGGGGUUCUUUGGUGGAGGUUCAACAAAAUGACCAGCAUCAGUUCAUGCCUCCAUCCACCACGCCAUCAGGAACAUGAUUGGGCCAGGGGAGAAGGCAGAAUCUCUGGGUGCAUAUGAUGGAAAAAAUUGCAAGUUCUUGUUUAGAUGUUCAGGAUACCCUUCUCUCAUUUCAUUUAUGCUCAGGAUAGGAGGUGCAUGAUGGAAAAUUGUGUAUCAUGUAGUUCUUGUUUAGAUGUCGUGCAAGUUCAAAAAUAGUCAAUUUUGCCACUGGA